UACGGAGGGUGCAAGCGUUAUCCGGAUUCACUGGGUUUAAAGGGUGCGUAGGUGGGCUAGUAAGUCCGUGGUGAAAUCUCCAAGCUUAACUUGGAAACUGCCGUGGAUACUAUUAGUCUUGAAUAUUGUGGAGGUAAGCGGAAUAUGUCAUGUAGCGGUGAAAUGCUUAGAUAUGACAUAGAACACCGAUAGCGAAGGCAGCUUGCUACACAAUCAUUGACACUGAGGCACGAAAGCGUGGGGAUCAAAACAGGA
Molecule: ribosomal RNA, 255 nt
Filed under: uncultured bacterium
Lineage: Bacteria
Description: partial 16S ribosomal RNA
Rfam family: Bacterial small subunit ribosomal RNA
Source: RNAcentral